CACUAAUGCCCAUAUUUAUAAAAUGGCAAAAGGAGCCUUAAAAACAAACAACAAAUACAAACUAUGGAAUUCUGAAUAGAAAUGCUUAACUUAAAAAAGGCAGUAAACUUUAUUCCAUUCAUCUUUUAAUCAUAGUUUUAAAAGGCAACUAAGUUUACUAACGAUUGUUUUCUCACUAACUACAGGGCUUUGAGUAAGCUACAGGGCUUGCAGUAAGUAACUUUAAAAUGGAUCAACCCUGUAUCUGACAUUAUAUGACUAGGAAAAAAAGUAGUCUUAUUUCAAUUUUAAAACCCAAUUAUUUUCUGGGUCAUUUAUUAUAAACCUGAUGAUACUGAUGAAUGAAAUAAAUGAGUUAGGGCUAUUAGGGAAAAAGAAAAUACAAUUUGAAAAGUAAAACAAAUUCACAUCAACAGUGAAAUAAAUUCUACAUUAAAGUCUCAUUAAUUUGGACCUCACUACUUAAAAAUAUAUAAUUUGGAACUUACUAGACUUUGAGAUGUAUAACAUUGUAAAUGCAAUUAGUAUAACUGAAUGAAUAAAAUAUUUUAAAUGUCUUCCUUCGUCAGUUUUUCAGCUCUUGAAAGUAGGAGGAAUCUAAUACAAGUUCACCAUUUUUUUUUUCAUAACCAGUGCUCAAAUUAAGCCACUCAACAUUGUUAUGACAAAGAUCCUUAAAGGUAAUAGAGAUUCAAAUACUCCAAGUUUAAUUCCUUCUUUUAUGAAUUAAUAAUGUCACUGGUACCUAAAAUAAUAAAACUAUAUUAAAAAGUACUCUAGUAUCUCAACUUCAGUUGACUUUCUCUAAUGCAAGAUUAACAAAGUACGGCUGUAUUUUCAAACCACUUUUAAAGCAAAUACCUGUGAAAGU
Molecule: long non-coding RNA, 871 nt
Filed under: Bos taurus (domestic cattle)
Lineage: Eukaryota; Metazoa; Chordata; Mammalia; Artiodactyla; Bovidae
Description: long non-coding RNA NONBTAT022358
Source: RNAcentral